RNAcentral lists this unclassified non-coding RNA (335 nucleotides) under soil metagenome. RNAcentral describes it as "partial contains 5.8S ribosomal RNA, internal transcribed spacer 2, and large subunit ribosomal RNA". The stretch from base 1 to 120 matches the Rfam family "5.8S ribosomal RNA", at positions 35 to 154 of the family's 154-position model. The record is from RNAcentral.
GAUGAAGAACGUAGCGAAAUGCGAUAAGUAAUGUGAAUUGCAGAAUUCAGUGAAUCAUCGAAUCUUUGAACGCACAUUGCGCCCGCCAGUAUUCUGGCGGGCAUGCCUGUUCGAGCGUCAUUUCAACCAUCAAGCCCCCGGCUUGUGUUGGGGACCUGCGGCUGCCGCAGGCCCUGAAAACCAGUGGCGGGCUCGCUAGUCACUCCGAGCGUAGUAAUACAUCUCGCUCAGGGCGUGCUGCGGGUCCCGGCCGUUAAAAAGCCUUAUUUACCCAAGGUUGACCUCGGAUCAGGUAGGAAGACCCGCUGAACUUAAGCAUACCAAUAAGCGGAGGA